Molecule: ribosomal RNA, 1699 nt
Filed under: Antigonia combatia (shortspine boarfish)
Lineage: Eukaryota; Metazoa; Chordata; Actinopteri; Caproiformes; Caproidae
Description: 16S ribosomal RNA
Rfam family: Bacterial large subunit ribosomal RNA
Source: RNAcentral
CGCCCAACAGCUAGCCCUCCCCCAAAACCUAACAACCCAUUAUUAAUUAACCCCAAACAUACCAACAAACCCUGAAACAAACCAUUUUUCCACCCCAGUAUAGGCGAUAGAAAAGGAAAAUACAGGAGCAAUAGAGAAAGUACCGCAAGGGAAAGCUGAAAGAGAAAUGAAACAACCCAGUUAAGCCUAAAAAAGCAGAGCUUCUACCUCGUACCUUUUGCAUCAUGAUUUAGCCAGUAACCCCAAGCAAAGAGCACUUUAGUUUGAUACCCCGAAACUAAGUGAGCUACUCCAAGACAGCCUAUUAAUAGGGCAAACCCGUCUCUGUGGCAAAAGAGUGGGAUGAGCUUUGAGUAGAGGUGACAGACCUACCGAACUUAGUUAUAGCUGGUUGCCUAGGAAACGGAUAGAAGUUCAGCCUCCCGGCUUCUUUACUCAUAUACGUCGCAACCCCCUUAUGACAUGUCAAGUAAACCGAGAGAGUUAGUCAAAGGGGGGACAGCCCCUUUGACACAAGACACAACUUUAACAAGAGGAUAAAGAUCAAAAUUACCUAAAGGUAAAAUGUUUUGGUGGGCCUAAAAGCAGCCAUCCCCCUAGAAAGCGUUAAAGCUCAAACAUCCCUACCAUUCCCUCCCUAUCCCGAUAAUAAAAUCUUAUUCCCCUAAUUUUACUAGGCCAUCCCAUUUUUUACCAUGGGAGAGAUUAUGCUAAUAUGAGUAAUAAGAGAGCCCCGUCUCUCUCCCCGCACAAGUGUAACUCGGAACGGACCCCCCACCGAACCUUACCGCCCCCAAACAAAGAGGGUAUUGAACUACAAAUAAAACAACUGGAAGACCCCCCAACAAUUAACCGUUAACCCCACACUGGUGUGCUCAUAAGGAAAGACUAAAAGAAAGAAAAGGAACUCGGCAAACACACAAGCCUCGCCUGUUUACCAAAAACAUCGCCUCUUGCAAUCAGUAAAUAAGAGGUCCCGCCUGCCCUGUGACUAUAUGUUUAACGGCCGCGGUAUUUUAACCGUGCAAAGGUAGCGCAAUCACUUGUCUCUUAAAUGGAGACCUGUAUGAAUGGCAUAACGAGGGCUAAGCUGUCUCCUCUUUCAAGUCAAUGAAAUUGAUUUCCCCGUGCAGAAGCGGGGAUAACCACAUAAGACGAGAAGACCCUAUGGAGCUUUAGACAAAAGGUAAAUUAUGUUAAUACCCCUCCCAUAUAAGAGGCUUAAACCAAAUAACCCUUACCUCAAUGUCUUUGGUUGGGGCGACCGCGGGGAAAUAAAAAACCCCCACGUGGAAAGGGAACACCCUUCCUACAAGUAAGAGCUCCCGCUCUAACAAACAAAAUUUUUGACCAAUAAGAUCCGGCAAUGCCGAUCAACGGACCGAGUUACCCUAGGGAUAACAGCGCAAUCCCCUUUUAGAGCCCAUAUCGACAAGGGGGUUUACGACCUCGAUGUUGGAUCAGGACAUCCUAAUGGUGCAGCCGCUAUUAAGGGUUCGUUUGUUCAACGAUUAAAGUCCUACGUGAUCUGAGUUCAGACCGGAGUAAUCCAGGUCAGUUUCUAUCUAUGACAUGAUCUUUUCUAGUACGAAAGGACCGAAAAGAGGAGGCCCCUGCUUAAGGUAUGCCUCUCCCCCACCUGAUGAAGACAACUAAAACAGGCAAAGGGGCAUAUCCUUAAUGCCUGAGAAAAUGGCAU